Molecule: long non-coding RNA, 2336 nt
Organism: Otolemur garnettii (small-eared galago)
Lineage: Eukaryota; Metazoa; Chordata; Mammalia; Primates; Galagidae
Exons: 3
Source: RefSeq, a predicted model, not a curated record
UUCUUUUUAUUAGAUGAUCUCUUUGUGUUAAAAAAUAGUCACAAAUUACGCCUGUCUGUGGAGUAGAAAUGUAAUUCUGGAACUCUUCUAGGGAAUCAAAGGAAAGAACAUGAAGUGAUUUUUACCUAACUGGUGAGAUGGCGCUUUGCAGCACACAGGAUGGGAUGGCGACCAUGCUAGAAUCCCAGAAAAAGAAACUGCUAGGUCCUUGAAGGUGAGGGAAGUCACAAGGAGGAAGGAACCCAAGGAAACGACCCUAUAAAGCUGUGGGUGAAGUCUUGGGCCCAACCUGGAGCCACAGAUGCCUAGAACUGACCUGCAACCACAUGAAUGAGAAAUGAACCGGGAAGCAGGCUGGGCCGUGAAGGGAGCACACAGGGAGCCGUGAACAUCACUGCAAAGCCUUUAAAACUGGACGGACAAUGGAACCACAGAAGGUACAAAAACAAAAUUAGUGCAGAGAAGCAAAGCGGAAGAAGAAACAAAGUGGUCGAUAGCUGGAUGCCAUUAAAAUAUAAGCAUCGUUUCUUGAGAGAGAAGCCAGAGGCUUGGCGUCUUUACCAGAAAUUUCCUCAACCACACCUGAAGGCAAAUGUCUGUGCCAAACCAAUGUUGUGGCAAAAUUAGGAAAUAGCCGGCAAUUAAAUGUCAGGUUCAAUGUUGAGGUCUAACUGGUUACAGGUCCAGGAGCAAAAAAAAUGUAAGAAAUGGCAAGGAGUCUGGCAUUAAUCCACAUAAACAAGUUUCCACUUAAAAAAACUAUAUUUCAAGUAGUUACAUUAUUCAGGGUCCAGUCCAGAGACAGAAAACACACUGGUAAUUUAAAGAUGGGAAUUUUAAUAUAAAGAAUUAUUAACUGAUAACAUUUUUCAUCAGUAGCAUGCAUGCUAGCAACUAGAGACACUAGGGUACUCCAGCUAGUCCUCCAAUGUUCCUGUAGGAGGCUUCCUGCCCCGGAGAAAAGGAACAAAAGAGAAUGCUUAGGAUUUAGAGAGAGGAUGCGUGACCAAAAGCAGAAACUUGGAAGGGAGCCUCCCCACCGAGGCUGAGUUUCAGGCCUCCCAGACAUGGAUGUGGCCCACAGGAUGGCACAGAACUUGGCCAAGGAAGUUGCCCUUGGCUAGACCUGGCCCAGGGGCUGUGAGCAGAGCUUAGCUUAGAGAGCAAGAAAGCAAGAGCAUACACUGUCCAGCGUGAGGACAGGGCAGAGAAGAAGAACGUGGAAUGGUCUGAGACACUGGAAGCCUUUUGUCUGAUUGGCUGAGGAUUUGCUGACAGUAGACACCUCUGAGAGAGUGUCCCUUACACGGGCCAACCACCAAAGAGACAUGAUCCUGGGUCCAGCUCCACCGUCACAAAGCAGAGCAAUGCAAGGUGGACUUGGAGUACAGUGACAAAAAACUGGUAACAGCUCAGUAGCAGUAGCUACUAUUAUUAACACUCACGUAGGGUCAGAUACAUGAGCUCAUUCAAUUUUUACAGCAGCCUGAUGAUUUAGGAGCUAUGAUGCCUCCCAGCCAAAGAGGAACACACCUAGAAUAAAAAAAUGCAGGAUUUACUCUUGCAGAAAAGGAGGACACGUAUCAUAAGAAACUAAAGCUUCUCACAAGAGGGGAGUGUCAUCAAAGGUUUUGGGUAUAAGAACUAAUCUCAAGACGGUCUUGGUAGUUAUGGUCAGAAUUUAUAAAUCAGGCUAAUCUCUAGAACAGUCACUGGGCUUAUUUUCAGAACACAAAUCCCGGCGAGUUAUUAUUAGAUCUCUUUGGCUGUGUACGGUCUAUCCGAGCCAUAUGGGUGUGAAUAAGUUGUUUUUUGAAAGAAUUUCAGCAUCUUCCCUGGCUGGGGUUAGUGUGGUGCAGCUGAUUUGUUGGGCAGGUCAUGUGCAGUAUUCCAAGCUGUGAUUUCUUUCAAUUUUCACUUUGUCCCAUGACCCCAUCACAAGUCCUUUAUUAGAAAGGCUUGUUCCAAUCUUAGAAUGUUAGCGCUGGAAGCACCUUGGAAAUAGCUUAGUCUAACCCAAAAGUUCAUGACCAUUGCUUCCUAUAUCACACUACACAGUCUUCCCCCAUUAAAUUCAGAAAACUAAAGAAAUGACCGGGACUGGGGAAUGACAUUCUAGGUUUUGAGAAUCAAAUACAUUUGAUGAUUUACAUUUAGAGACAAAAUUAGCUACAAAUGUGCAAAUUUUCCAUUCCCUUUAUUAGCAUAUUAUUCUUUUUCUUGUUUAAAUAGUGAGUUUAAAAAAUCACUCCUGGUUGGGAACAGAAGCUCAUGCCUAUAAUUCUAGUUCUAGAAUCCCCCAGGGUGGACGUUUAUGGCCAGGAAUUUGAGACCAA